Molecule: ribosomal RNA, 257 nt
Filed under: uncultured bacterium
Lineage: Bacteria
Description: partial small subunit ribosomal RNA
Rfam family: Bacterial small subunit ribosomal RNA
Source: RNAcentral
AGGACGAACGCUGGCGGCGUGCUUAACACAUGCAAGUCGAGCGGUAAGGCCCUUUCGGGGGUACACGAGCGGCGAACGGGUGAGUAACACGUGGGUGACCUGCCCCCUACUCUGGGAUAAGCCUGGGAAACUGGGUCUAAUACCGGAUAUGACUCAAGGCCGCAUGGUUUUGGGUGGAAAGCUUUUGUGGUGGGGGAUGGGCCCGCGGCCUAUCAGCUUGUUGGUGGGGUGAUGGCCUACCAAGGCUUCGACGGGUA